This 350-nucleotide ribosomal RNA is filed under the name uncultured bacterium. RNAcentral describes it as "bacterial SSU rRNA". It matches the Rfam family "Bacterial small subunit ribosomal RNA", at positions 28 to 368 of the family's 1533-position model. The record is from RNAcentral.
GACGAACGCUGGCGGCGCGCCUAAUACAUGCAAGUCGAGCGAGAAGGUGUAGCAAUACACUUGUAAAGCGGCGAACGGGUGAGGAAUGCAUGGGUAACCUACCCUCGAGUGGGGAAUAACUAGCCGAAAGGUUAGCUAAUACCGCAUACGUUUCCGGAACUUCGGUUUCGGAAAGAAAGCAAUACCGUGGGUAUUGCGCUCCUGGAUGGGCUCAUGUCCUAUCAGCUUGUUGGUGAGGUAACGGCUCACCAAGGCUUCGACGGGUAGCUGGUCUGAGAGGACGAUCAGCCACACUGGCACUGCGACACGGCCGAGACUCCUACGGGAGGCAGCAGUAAGGAAAUAUUGCG